AGGGUUUGAUCAUGGCUCAGGGCGAACGCUGGCGGCACGCCUCAUACAUGCAAGUCGAGCGAUCGGUAGCUGGGUGCUUGCACCCGGCUACACGGAGCGGCGAACGGGUGAGUAACACGUGGGCAAUCUGCCUCGAGGACGGGGAUAACGGCGGGAAACUGCCGCUAAUACCCGAUAACCCCAAUGGAUCGCAUGAUCCGCUGGGUAAAUGGUUCUUCCGCCUCGAGAGGAGCCCGCGGCCUAUCAGCUUGUUGGUGGGGUAACGGCCUACCAAGGCUAUGACGGGUAGCCGGCCUGAGAGGGUGUUCGGCCACACCGGGACUGAGACACGGCCCGGACUCCUACGGGAGGCAGCAGUAGGGAAUCUUGCACAAUGGGCGCAAGCCUGAUGCAGCGAUGCCGCGUGAGGGAUGAAGGCCUUCGGGUUGUAAACCUCUUUCGCUAGGGAAGAAGCCACGGGUCACCGUGGUGACGGUACCUAGAGAAGAAGCCCCGGCUAACUACGUGCCAGCAGCCGCGGUAAAACGUAGGGGGCAAGCGUUGCCCGGAUUCACUGGGCGUAAAGCGGGUGUAGGCGGUCCUCUAAGUCGGAUGUGAAAUCCUGCGGCUCAACCGCGGAACUGCAUCCGAUACUGGAGGACUUGAGGACGGUAGAGGUCGGUGGAAUUCCCGGUGUACCGGUGAAAUGGGCAGAUAUCGGGAGGAACACCAGUGGCGAAGGCGGCCGACUGGGCUGAUCCUGACGCUGAGACCCGAAAGCCAGGGUAGCGAACCGGAUUAGAUACCCGGGUAGUCCUGGCCGUAAACGGUGCGAACUAGGUGUGGGGACCUUUUUGGUCUCCGUGCCGAAGCUAACGCAUUAAGUUCGCCGCCUGGGGAGUACGGCCG
RNAcentral lists this ribosomal RNA (888 nucleotides) under uncultured Actinomycetes bacterium. RNAcentral's name for it is "bacterial SSU rRNA". It matches the Rfam family "Bacterial small subunit ribosomal RNA", at positions 8 to 888 of the family's 1533-position model. The record is from RNAcentral. Lineage: Bacteria; Bacillati; Actinomycetota; Actinomycetes.